GAUGAACGCUGACAGAAUGCUUAACACAUGCAAGUCGACUCGAGUCUUCGGACUUGGGUGGCGGACGGGUGAGUAACGCGUAAAGAACUUGCCUCAUAGUCUGGGACAACAUUUGGAAAUGGAUGCUAAUACCGGAUAUUAUACUUUCUUCGCAUGGAGGAAGUAUGAAAGCUAUAUGCGCUAUGAGAGAGCUUUGCGUCCCAUUAGCUAGUUGGUGAGGUAACGGCCCACCAAGGCGAUGAUGGGUAGCCGGCCUGAGAGGGUGAACGGCUACAAGGGGACUGAGACACGGCCCUUACUCCUACGGGAGGCAGCAGUGGGGAAUAUUGGACAAUGGACCAAAAGUCUGAUCCAGCAAUUCUGUGUGCACGAUGACGUUUUUCGGAAUGUAAAGUGCUUUCGGUCGGGAAGAAGCAAGUGACGGUACCGACAGAAGAAGCGACGGCUAAAUACGUGCCAGCAGCCGCGGUAAUACGUAUGUCGCAAGCGUUAUCCGGAUUUAUUGGGCGUAAAGCGCGUCUAGGCGGCAAGGAAAGUCUGAUGUGAAAAUGCGGGGCUCAACUCCGUAUUGCGUUGGAAACUGCCUUACUAGAGUACUGGAGAGGUAGGCGGAACUACAAGUGUAGAGGUGAAAUUCGUAGAUAUUUGUAGGAAUGCCGAUGGGGAAGCCAGCCUACUGGACAGAUACUGACGCUAAAGCGCGAAAGCGUGGGUAGCAAACAGG
This 724-nucleotide ribosomal RNA is filed under the name uncultured Fusobacterium sp. RNAcentral's name for it is "bacterial SSU rRNA". It matches the Rfam family "Bacterial small subunit ribosomal RNA", at positions 28 to 776 of the family's 1533-position model. The record is from RNAcentral. Lineage: Bacteria; Fusobacteriati; Fusobacteriota; Fusobacteriia; Fusobacteriales; Fusobacteriaceae.